UCCCUGGUGGCUUAGACGGUAAAGCGUCUGCCUGCAAUGCGGGAGACCGGGGUUCGGUUCCUGGGUUGGGAA
This 72-nucleotide transfer RNA is filed under the name Ovis aries (sheep). It matches the Rfam family "tRNA". Rfam says of the family: Transfer RNA (tRNA) molecules are approximately 80 nucleotides in length. Lineage: Eukaryota; Metazoa; Chordata; Mammalia; Artiodactyla; Bovidae. The record is from Rfam by way of RNAcentral.